Long non-coding RNA from Stegodyphus dumicola, 2616 nucleotides. Lineage: Eukaryota; Metazoa; Arthropoda; Arachnida; Araneae; Eresidae. The record is from RefSeq and is a predicted model, not a curated record.
AGUCAAAAUUUGAAAAAAAUUAGGGAAUUUCAUAACGGCAAUCCCCCCAAAACCGAUUUUCGCACCAAUGUUGACAGUGAUCACGUUCUUGGGGAAUUAUGUAUUGCGUGCUUGUCAUUCGGGCAGCUGGCAUAGAGCCAAUUUUUGCGGCGCUAACCAGAUUGUCUUUCAGAAAGGCAAAGAAAGUUUCCAGUAUCUUUGUUUCCAGUAACCUCUUGAAUUCAGGGGCUCGCACAAAGAAUCGUAUGCACAUGUGGAACGGAAGAAAGAGAUGAAGUUAUGCCUCGUGGUUAAGAGAGCACGUUUUUCUGUUUUCAGUUAAAAAGUCUGCUGCAAAAUAUCUGAAAAAAGACAUUUUUUAAUCCAGGUUGGGCAGAUUCUAGUCUCAAUCCUCAGUGGAAUCCAUGGUUGCAACCUAUCGAAUUAGCUCCUAACAUGGCAAGAUGCACGUUUUGCCAACAAAAUAUCAUGCUUAGUACCAUGGGAAGGAAAGCAGUUACAAGCCACAUAAACAGUGUAAAACAUAAGAAAAUCAUUUUUGUGAAGAUGAACUCUGAAAACUUAAAAAACUAUUUCUCCAUAGAUAAAAGCAGUUCUGAAACACAGCAGUCUUCGGCACUAGUUGCUGAAUCAUCAAAUUUAAACGCGUUCACACCUGAGGACAAAGUUUUUGCUGCGGAAUUACUGUGGGCUAUGAAAUUUGUUUCUUCAGAUGUUUCUUAUAAUGCAUUUAAUGCUGCUGCUGUUCUGUUCCAGAAAGUGUUUGAUGACAGCAAUAAAGCUAAAGCUAUGACCCUGGGACAUACAAAAAUGUCAUAUUUAGUGUCAUUUGGUUUAGCUCCAUACUUCAAAAAGAUGCUCAUUUCUGAUCUUAGAACACUGAAUUUGUAAUUUGCUUCAAUGAAGCAUUAAAUAGAAUUGUCCAGAGAGGCAAAAUGGAUCUUUUUGUUAGAUUUUGGGACAGUGCGAGGAAUGAAGAUACCUCACAUCAAUUUUUUGGGGACAUGUAUCUGCCAAUGACCUUCUGAGAAGUUUCUUUGAGGGAACCUCAGAGCUAGAUAAAAAGAAAUUGCUGCAAGUAUCAUUGGAUGGACCAAAUGUCAAUCUUAAAUUCCUCAGAGAUUUGAAAGAAAAUUUAGCAAAUAAUGAUGCCUGCCAUGUAUUACAUAUUGGGUCCUGUGGUUUGCAUGUUGUUCAUGGUGCCUUUAGAGCUGGCCAUAAAGGUACUGACUGGAAUUUAAGUGCAUUAUUUAAAAAUAUGCAUAGAGUAUGUAAAGACAGUCUUGCUUGGCAAGCAGACUAUAUUGCCAUCACUAACUGUACAACUUUUCCGUUGAAGUUUUGUGAAGUAAAAUGGUGUGAAAACAUACCUGUUGCUGAGAGAGCUAUUGAUAUUUUUCAUCAUGUCAAAAAAUAUGUAGAAUCAUCCGAACUACCAAAAACUGUGUCAUUCAAAAGACUGAGAGAAGCUGUUAAAGAUAAGCUACUUUUGGCAAAAAUCUCAUUUUUUAUUUCGGUUGCAGGAGUUAAUUUACAUCCAUUUCUAAAGUCAUUUCAGACAGCUGAUCCUUUGUGCCCCUUUCUAUAUACAACUUUCCAUAGUAUGCUAAGUCAUCUUCUCUCCAAAUUUGUCAAAAGAGAUAUACUGCGAGAGGCAAAAGCUCCUGAAAAACUGAUAAAUAUAGAUAUUCUGGAUGAAAACAUUUAUUGUAAUGUUGCAGAUAUAGAUGUGGGUAUUGCUGCUGGUGCGAGUUUAGCUAAAAGUGGAGUAUCUGAUCUUAACAAAAGAGAAUUCAGAACUCGGUGCAGAACAUUUUUGGUUAAGCUGGUAUAAAAAAUAUUUGAAAGAAGCCCAUUGAAAUAUAGCUUAGUUAAAUACAUUUCUUCAUUAGAUCCUAAGCUCAUUACGUCUAAUGAAUUUUUAUGUGAGAAAAGGAUGGAGAGGUUAUUGCAUAUAAUAUAUGAAAGUGAAUGGAUAAAUUCCACAGUUUCAGAUAAAUCAAAAAUGCAGUUUAAAGAAUUAUUAUUCAGAAGUAAGGGUGUUUGGAAAGACGCUUUUACUAAUUAUGCUUCAAUGUGACUUGAUCACUUUUAUAAGGAUUUGAUUAAUAACUCAGAUUUUAAAGAACUUUGGAGUGUUGUAAAACUAGUUCUAAUUUUAUCACAUGGCAAUUCCACAGUAGAAAGUGGAUUUUCAGUUAAUAAUGAUAUGUUGGUGGAAAAUCUGCAGGAAAAUUCUUUAACAGCAGUGCAAACUGUUUAUGAUGCUAUAAAAGUAAAUGGAGGUGUGAUUAAUAUUAAUGUAACUCCUUAUAUGUUAUGAUAUGCCAGAUCUGCUCGUGGUGCAUAUCACCGAGCACUCGAAGACAAAAAACUGUGUGAUAAUAAACAUAAAAAAUACUAUUAGACAAAAGGAACAAGGCACAGAUUAAAAUUUUGGAGUCAAAAAAACAAAAAUUGAGCAGAGAUGUUUCUUCAAUUGACUUGCAAAUUGCAAAGUUAAAACAAGAAAUCUAAUUUGGUGCUUAUUUUUCAUUAGUAUUUUUUCUAUUAGUGUUUUGUUUAAAUAUAUUAAAUGUCAUAUUUUUAAUUCUAAUAAAUAUUUUUCAUUUAACA